CCUACGGGUGGCAGCAGUGAGGAAUAUUGGUCAAUGGACGAGAGUCUGAACCAGCCAAGUAGCGUGAAUGAUGACUGCCCUAUGGGUUGUAAACUUCUUUUAUAUGGGAAUAAAACGUUCCACGUGUGGGAUUUUGUAUGUACCAUAUGAAUAAGGAUCGGCUAACUCCGUGCCAGCAGCCGCGGUAAUACGGAGGAUCCGAGCGUUAUCCGGAUUUAUUGGGUUUAAAGGGAGCGUAGGUGGAGUGUUAAGUCAGUUGUGAAAGUUUGCGGCUCAACCGUAAAAUUGCAGUUGAAACUGGCAGUCUUGAGUACAGUAGAGGUGGGCGGAAUUCGUGGUGUAGCGGUGAAAUGCUUAGAUAUCACGAAGAACUCCGAUUGCGAAGGCAGUUCACUGGACUGCAACUGACACUGAGGCUCGAAAGUGUGGGUAUCAAACAGGAUUAGAUACCCCUGUAGUC
RNAcentral lists this ribosomal RNA (460 nucleotides) under uncultured bacterium. Its description in RNAcentral is "partial 16S ribosomal RNA". It matches the Rfam family "Bacterial small subunit ribosomal RNA", at positions 338 to 795 of the family's 1533-position model. The record is from RNAcentral.